CACCUAAAUACAUUUCCUAUCAGU
This 24-nucleotide non-coding RNA is filed under the name Arabidopsis thaliana (thale cress). The record is from RNAcentral. Lineage: Eukaryota; Viridiplantae; Streptophyta; Magnoliopsida; Brassicales; Brassicaceae.